Molecule: ribosomal RNA, 253 nt
Filed under: uncultured bacterium
Lineage: Bacteria
Description: partial 16S ribosomal RNA
Rfam family: Bacterial small subunit ribosomal RNA
Source: RNAcentral
UACGUAGGGUGCGAGCGUUAAUCGGAAUUACUGGGCGUAAAGCGUGCGCAGGCGGUUUUGUAAGCCAGAUGUGAAAUCCCCGGGCUCAACCUGGGAAUGGCGUUUGGGACUGGAAGUCUGGAGUGCGGCAGAGGAGACUGGAAUUCCUGGUGUAGCAGUGAAAUGCGUAGAUAUCAGGAGGAACACCGAUGGCGAAGGCAGAUCUCUGGGCCGUAACUGACGCUGAGGAGCGAAAGCGUGGGGAGCGAACAGG